GCGCGGGCAGCAGCCCCCUCCCCUGCGUCGCCGGCGACUCGCACAGCACCGCCCGCUCCUGCGCGUUGCGCUCCUUGCCGGCGCCCGCCGCCUCCGCCUCCGCGUUCAGCGGGCGGGGGCGCCGGGCGACCCCCAAGGCAGGUGGGGGGGCCCAGGGUGGGACUUGGGGGUCUGGGGCAGGUGUGGGCUAAGGAGGAACGCCAGCCGGGCCCCCCUCGCUCCCGAGGCGAGCUGGGAGUCCUGGGAAACGUCUCCGCCACGGUGCAGGGCUCGCAGGAGCCUCCAAAAGACAGCAACGUUUGUCUGCCCGGCAGGACCUGCGGAACCCAAAGGACUGACGAUGGGACACUCAGGUAAGACACGGCGGUGGGCUGUACACGGAGAAAACCAACGGGAGCUUCGAACAUGCGCCCCCCGUGAGCAUGCCGAGGCUGCAGAUCCUGGUGGGCGAUGGGGCGGCUCCCGGCAGCCUGCUCGGGGUUGAGAAGCUGAUUUCCCCCACGAUGCCACAGUGGUGGGCAAGGCAGACACAGUCAGAGGCAACCAACAGCAGUGGGCCAGUCACACCCAGAGCCCCCUCGAGGGGGUGGUCGGAGGCAGGAGGUGGCACGUUCACACCUUGCGCGAAUGACACCACCUGAGGAAGACCUGGACCUACUGAGAAAUCCAGACCUGGGCCCCAGUCAGACUAAGCUUUUCAAAGCGACAGCCUUCGCCAGCUUUUUUGUGUUGCUGUUUCCUGUCACCUGAUGCAAUGCCCAUUAAUGUACACGCAGGAUCCCACAGAGACUGUAUCAAGGACAUUCUUGGGAAGUUAGUCAGCCCCGGUGCAGGAAAUUCACUUAAAGAGAGCAGCGUGGCUUUCUCCUUUCAGAUGCUUUUUGUUCCUUUCCUUCCAGUGGGAAAACAUUUCAUUGACCCUUGGGAGACAUUUCAUUGAUUCUUUCCUCUUAUCCCUUAGUUUCCUACAUGUGCCUGUACAGGUAAGAAGGUAUCAGGAGGCUGGGGUCUCUGUAUCCGCAGCAAAGCCAAGCGCGUUCACGACUGGUUCUGGGGGAUUUGGUUUCCAUUUUGUUUGGGAAAAAGAGCAAUGGCAUCCUGCUGCCUGUUGUAAUAUUUCCAAAGCCCUGGCGAUGAUCCUUAGUGGGAAACUAGGCUGACAUUUCCUUCCAGGGAGGUGAGGGACUGUCUAUAUAUUCAUCUUUCCAGAAUCUUCCAUGGUCAUGUCAUGAGGCCUCAUGUGGGCAGCGUCCUAAGCAUUGGCCAUGCUGUGUCUACCUGCAGAAUAUUUGCCUUGUGCCUCCUCGUGUGGGCCCGGUUUCCUCUGACGACUUCUCCUCAGCUUGUGUUGCCUUAUUUACGCAGGCGUGAGCGUAAGCGUAAAUAGCUGUGGUGUCAGAGAAGUCAUUAUUUUGCUAAGUAGGUACUGAAUUUCCUGCCCAGCCUGUGUUUUUGCCUCCGUGAAGAUGACUCUAUGUGCCCACCCCACAAGGAAGGCUUUAGCUGAGUUUGUCAGACUUGAGAACUCACAGGGGCCUCCAGACCCCAGUCUAAGCAGUGCUGCUUUAGGCCAUUGGGUGGGUUAAUUGCAAAAGUUCCAUUCAGAUAUGGCACAAAAAUAACAACAUAACCCUACAUUUAUUCUGCACCAAGCUUUGCAUGUUCCCGGUCUAACUCCUGUGAUGAUUUGGCGUAGCAAGGGUAUUGUCACCACGGUUUUAUCGUGGGGAGGGCUGGGCUCAAAUGUCAGAUGAUUCCCCUGGAAUCCAAACAUUUCAGUCCCUUCAAAGCCUCUUUAGUACACCCUGCUCCGUACUAGAUAAGGAGACUUUGUGCAACCUGUUAAAAAAACAGCAGUGUCUAGAUUGUUUGUUAAAUUUUAUCUGGCUCCUCAAGACUGCGAGUUCCAGAGUCAAACCAACCUGGAUUGUAAACCUUUCCAGCAUGUGACUCUGCAGGAAAACACAUAACCUCUGUAUACUUGAGUUUCCUUAUCUGUAAAAUGAAGAUAGCCUAUCACGGGACUAUUGUAAUAGAUGGGUUAUAUUAGUAAGAGGGUAGGAAAAGUCCUGAAACAAUAAUAAUUCCUUGACAGUUACCUGUUUUAUUAGUCACACACUCUAAAUAAAUGUUUAUUGACCUUACUGGAAAAGGAUUAUGUAAUGAGAAAUACUACAGUGUCGAUUUUGCUCUUAAGAACAGGGGAAACGAAUCCCAUGCAAGAUUCUGGGGAAAAAAGGGAAAAAGUUAAAGACGAGAGUUGAUUGUUUUACCACCCCCCUUCGUUGCUGAUGUCGGCAGCACAGAAGUGACAGUUUCUCACUAUGUCAAGAGAUCUGGAUAAAUUGGGGAUGCUGAGGAUGCUGGUUGCUUCAGAGGGACUUCCCAGCAGUCCAGGACUCGCCUGCUGAAACAGCAGCCACCUGCCCCCUCCGUCACCGCGGGCUCUUAGCUGUUCCUAUUCACGGCACAGUCUGCAGGAGGCAGGUUGGAAGUCUCCUGGCCCAAGAGUUCCUGCUGCGGCUCAGCGGUGACAACCCAACUAGUACCCAUGAGGAUGCGGGUUCCAUCCCUGGCUUCCCCCAGUGGGCGGGGGAUCCUGUGUAGCCAUGAGCUGCAUUGUAGGUCACACAUGUCGCUCAGAUCUGGCAUUGCUGUGGCUGUAGUGUAGGCCAGCAGCUGCGGCUCUAAGUCGACCCCUAGACUGGGUACUUCCCUAUGCUGCAGGUGGAGCUCUAAAAAGACCAAAAAAAAAAAGGAAGUCUCCCGGCCCAGACCAACCAUUGUAACCAUCCUCACUGAUCUGGGUUUGCAGUCACUAGUGGGAGCACCCAUUUAUACACUUAAGCUCUUAAGCGUCCUGCACCUAAGAAAUGUGCCUGGGAGGUUCCUUCCUUCUUGGGGCGUCUAGCCUAGCAAGGGCUUUUCUGGUGGCGGGGGUGGGUGUGAGAGCAAGUCUCCCAUGACUGGAAAGAAUCUUCCAUUCAUGGAUGAAGAGUUCCCUGCUCAAGGCCACUUUGUAGAAACAUACCUAGCCUUGAGUAAACUGGCCACCCGCUCAGCACAGUUUCUACAGGAAUUUUUUGCACACUUAGGAUGCCAAGGUUAUUUUUAUAAAUGUCUGACAAGUGUGCAUCUUUUGGUGUAAACCCCGUGAAGUUUUUCUAGAGCCAUCUGAAGUUAGAUUCUUGACCCAAACUCCGAAAGUCUAAACCCUUGUGCUAGGUCAACCCUUCCUCCCCCCACUCCCCCCUCCCCCGUCCCCACCACACCUUCCUUGCCUAACCAGUUUUCCAAGGAAGAAACCUUCGGAGGGGGAUUUCUCUGCCUUUUGUUAUGUUGUCUGUAGGCUGAUGUCCUUUUAGUAAUUCGGUGGGGCUCUAUGCUUGCAAGAUGGAGAAUUAGCUGUGCCGCUCUCUAAUACGAACCAAUACCUUAGACUUAGUGACCUGUGUGUGUGUUUGUUUUUUUUUAACUUGCAUAAAAGAUGCUAAAAAGUUAUUUCUGUUGCUGAAAUUGGUGGUGUUUGCAAAGUGUCCUUGUUAGGGGAGGUAUGACAGGACCCAUGGAUCUCUCAGGACCACAUACAAGAAGGCAGCCAGCGCACCUGCACCUAUAGCCAUGCAGUCCCCAGGGCUGGGGCCUGUGACCCUCUGCUUCCCCUAGGAUCCUGCGCUUUAUUUGGGAACCUGACUGCCUUCCCUUCAGCAUGGCUCUUUCAUGCAAGGUGCUGUUAAUUCAAACACGGACCUGGAAGAAGGACUCAGUUGGGAUGACUGUACCUCCUUGCUAAAACGUGGUUUUUUUGGUCUGGUUAAAUUUGGUUGGAGAUUAACUGUUCGAGUGAGAGUGAGAUGGAGUGCAGUGAGGAGUGUGACCUAAAUCUAGGGCCUUUAACCACUAGAGGCCCCUGAUUUCUAUCCAGAGAAUCUGACAUUUGUCUAACAGCCACCUUGGCUCAGAAGCAAAGCUUUCGAAAAAUAGAGAUGCUCAAGUCCCAGCUCCAGGAAGUCUGACUUAAACGAUGUAAGGCGGGUCUCAGGCAUCCAUAUGUUUCAGAAGGUCCCCGGUGAAUUCUCGUAUGCAGCCCGGGCUGAGAACCUCCGCUUUAGAAGGAUUCAUAACUCACCGCCAUCAUUCCCCCUGCCUAGGGAGAGGCUUCUGGCCAGCCCAGUGGGUCUCAAAAUAAAGGUUUAGAAACAGCUGGAGGUACUUGCCUGUAGUCCACACCCCAGCCUCCCACUCAGGGACUCUGAGGUCUCAAGAGGGACCCAGGCAACUGCCCCAUAGCCCAGAAGCCAAGAGUGGCUCUGACAGAUGGACCACAUUUUGAGAUGCUCCUCAGAGCUCAGACAGCCAGAUUCCCCACCCACCAGCUCUAGUCCACAAGUAUAGACAUUCACCUGGAAGGAUGAGUCAAAUAGUACAUUUUAUCCACAAAUAUCAAACCUUCACAACAGACCUUAGAUAUGCCUAAUCUGCUUGUCAUUGUCAACUCCACUCUUGAACUGGCACGGACGCCUGCAACAGUACCCCGAUCUGCCUGUGGUUUUGCCUAAAAGAAGGUUUCUUUUAAUAACAGCAUCAGGCCUUUUGCCAUGUACCUGGUGUUCCUGAAAUGAUCUGAAAGGAUUGCUAGGGCCCGUGGAAGUCAGCAAGCGUCAGACCCUGCUGUCGCAAAAGAAUAAGUCUGAUGGGGGAGGUUAGACACGUGCCCAGGUUGCUAGAAUGUAAGGAAGGAAAUACAGCCAUUGACAUAGGGGGGAAAAAAAAGUGCUGUGGGAACAAGAGGAAGAAGUGGAUUCAUUGACCUUGGGUGUUGGGAAAUGUCCCAGAGAAGACGGUCGUCGAGGUCGAUCCCUGUGGAUAAGCAGACCCCCCCUCUCCCCCGUCCUAGAGGCACAGGAGAGGAAGGUCAAGCCAGGUAAGGGCCAGAUGGCCUGCGCGUGGGAUUGGAGGAUGGAUGGACACGCAUGAGAACUGGAGAGCAGUUGAGCGGUACCAGGGGCACAGAGGGGCAGAGAAAGAGGAGAGGUGGUUUAAAGCCAGCUGCACCUGGGCUCUGGAGGUCCUGCUAAAGAGUGUGGGAUUUUCCUUUAGGCAGUGAGAAGGCAUCACAGAUGUUUUUAGAGGGGUGUGCCGUGAGUUCAGAAUCUGGCUCUGGGAAAAAAAGGGGUGAGUAGACUGCAGGGGAGAGAGAAACUGGGAGCAGGAAAACCAAUUAGGAAGCAGUUGCCGUUGUUCAAGAAAAUGCUGCUCUCCGCCGCAGUGGUCCCGUUCCUAAAAUAAUGCAUCAAUCAUCUUGCUUCAUUUUACUCCUCUUAUUUCUGGGGCUAGAAAAAAAUCACUUACCCCUUCUGUGACUCAGAAUCCCUCCCUAUUAAUAGAAGAUGACAAAAUCCUUAUCUUACCUCACACAGGGAGGUGCUGGGAGACGCUUGUAUUUGUAGCCAGGGAAGAGGGGAAAUCUUAUUCUAAAUGCCAGUGGUGUCACUUGUCUCCAGGAGAGAAACUGCUUUUCGCCUCUAACUUUUUAUCAGAAACACCUCAGACCUGCAGAAAAGUUGAGCGUUGAGUAAAAGCAUCAGAAAUAGUCUUUGGAGGGAAAUUUCUGCAGAAGUUGCAAGUCUCAUUACCAUAGCGGUGACAGUGCCACAUCCCACACCGAAAAGGUCCAUCUGCUGCUACAAGCGAUGGCCCUUCCUGGAGACAUCAUCUGCCACUGUCCACAGUUUACAUAAGGGCCCCCUCUCAGUGCUGGUACCCUCUGUGAAUUGGAACAGAUAGAUGCUGAUGUGUAUCCACCAUUAUAAUAUUGUACUUCCUGCUUUUGCUUUAAACCUAAAACUGCCUUUGAAAAUAGUCUGUUUUAAUAGAAAUGAAAAAAUAUGUAUCCUGCCUCAGAUUGACUUGGAACUACAGAAUACAGUUUCUUCAUGAAUUAGAUGAAAGCCCCUUUUCAAAUGUUUACAUGUAUUAUGCAAUUUUUUCUUUUAUUAAAAAAAAAAAAUUGGAGUUCCUUGGUGGCCUGGCAGUUAAGGAUCUGACAUUGUCACCGCUAUGGUACAGGUUUGAUCCCUGGCCUGGGAACUUACACAUGUUGCAGGUGAAGCCAAAAAAAAAAAAAAAAAAAAA
This 6135-nucleotide long non-coding RNA is filed under the name Sus scrofa (pig). RNAcentral describes it as "lncRNA (ENSSSCG00040072608.1)". Lineage: Eukaryota; Metazoa; Chordata; Mammalia; Artiodactyla; Suidae. The record is from RNAcentral.